ACUAAUCUACUACCCCAGUAGAUUAUAUAUUACUAAUCUAAUAAUUUUAGUAACAUGAUUUAUUCAAAAUCAAAGUUUCUUAAUUGGUUGUCUGUUUACGUACCAUGUGACAGUGGAUCGAUACUUUACUCUUAAAAUGUACAGUGAAAUGAGCUUAUACUUUGUGUAGUAGUAUAUGAAGUACUAAGUAGAACUAUGAGGCAACUUCGAUGGAAUCCAGUCUCUAAAUUGGCAGAAUUUAUUUAAUUAAAGGGUCAAGUUUGGUCAUUGACUUAAAUUUAUUUAACUAUACGAAAACUUAGUAAUGUAUUACUCCAAAAAUAUACAGUAAAAGUAACGGAUAUUUGCUGUAGUAGAACAGGAGUUAUCAAAGGGCAAAGUUCAGCUACUGGUGUCAGUUGAACUUACUGAAUGAUACUUUAUGCAUUAUUUAAAAACUAUGCAGUAAAAUAAGUUGAUAUUUCCUGUGGUAGUAGUCUAUAAAGUACUAGUUAGUGAUGUCCCGAUUUGAGUAAUUUAUUCAAAUCCAAGAUUUAGAAAAGAGGCAAAUUGCCUCUUUAUAUUUUCCAUUAGUGAAUAUAUUUAGACAUUCACUGUAAAUUCUGUAAUUUCUUAAAUUUAAUUCAUUUCCUUGCAACAUUUAUCUUAAUAUCGCCCCAGAUGCUCCUAAAAGUGAGAGUCUCGGCUUUUCUCAGUGAUCGCAACAGUUACCGUAACUAUAGCACGAAUCGCGCACCUUGAAUAUAGCGACGGCUCAUUUGACCACGGAAAAGUAAACGGGGUUCAUUUGACCGUGGUGACACACCGGAGCAAACGGCAACUGUAGCUUGUUUGAUCCUUUCGGGGACAGUCCACCAGAUGACGCAUUUCAAACAGUUCUAACAAGAAUGGAAACCCUUAAACGCUGUCUGGAGUGCUCAAGAGGGAGGUUGAUGGAUGCAACAGCAGUACAAGACAUGCUUGAAAACAUUGAGAAAUAUUCAGGAGGUCAAGGAAAUGCAACAGGGGGCUCAACAAGUGCUUAUAGACACAAGCUGUUACGGCGAUAAAGAGGCACGUCAUGGCUGGACUGUCAUGCGAGGUGGUGUCAGCAAAAGUAAAACUCACAAGUCAUAGAGUCAAUUGACUCUCUGCAUAUUCGUUGAACCGAGGGCUGCUUGAAGUGCUGUUUCUGUUGUAAUAGAGGUGAGGUCAGGAAAAUAACUUUUCUUAAAUAUGACAUAUAUAGAUGCUUCAGUCGAACAAGUCUGUCACAAACAAGUAAUUCCUUUUCCAAGAGAUGUGUUUUGAUCAUUUAUCAUUAUCAAACAUGUGAUCACAUGACUUUUACUGGCUAAUGAAUUAUGCCUUCUACAUUAAACAAUUACUGUCUUUUUGUCCUCUACAGAUUAACGUGCACAUGCAUCAUAGACCAGAAGCACAAGUGGCCAUUGGUUUUAAUGCUGUCAACUAGGGCUCAAGCAUGCAUUAAAGAGUCCAUUUACCUAAGAUGAUGUGGUUGUUAUUGCUCCUGAUACAAAGUUUUCUGUGUGUACACUUAAUGUCACUUUUCACAAAGACAAAUUCUGUAACAUCUGUUGUCUCUGUUUGAUUAUAGCAGGUAAUGUUUAUAUUAGUGUUUAGAAAGAUAAAAGAAGGUACAGUACUGGGUUGUAUAGCACCGACGCCUGUGUGGUCACGUGUAACACUUGACUGUAUUUCAAAUAGAUUUCAGUAUUCCCCAGUAAAUAAAAAAAACUCUACAAAUGUCCA
This 1752-nucleotide long non-coding RNA is filed under the name Betta splendens (Siamese fighting fish). RNAcentral's name for it is "lncRNA (ENSBSLG00000011892.1)". The record is from RNAcentral. Lineage: Eukaryota; Metazoa; Chordata; Actinopteri; Anabantiformes; Osphronemidae.